This 652-nucleotide ribosomal RNA is filed under the name Nocardioides marinus. RNAcentral's name for it is "bacterial SSU rRNA". It matches the Rfam family "Bacterial small subunit ribosomal RNA", at positions 89 to 754 of the family's 1533-position model. The record is from RNAcentral. Lineage: Bacteria; Bacillati; Actinomycetota; Actinomycetes; Propionibacteriales; Nocardioidaceae.
ACUCGAGCGGCGAACGGGUGAGUAACACGUGAGUAAUCUGCCUCUGGCUUCGGGAUAGCCACCGGAAACGGUGAUUAAUACCGGAUAUGACAUCUUCACGCAUGUGAUGGGUGUGGAAAGUUUUUUCGGCCAGGGAUGUGCUCGCGGCCUAUCAGCUUGUUGGUGGGGUAAUGGCCUACCAAGGCUUCGACGGGUAGCCGGCCUGAGAGGGUGACCGGCCACACUGGGACUGAGACACGGCCCAGACUCCUACGGGAGGCAGCAGUGGGGAAUAUUGGACAAUGGGCGGAAGCCUGAUCCAGCAACGCCGCGUGAGGGAUGACGGCCUUCGGGUUGUAAACCUCUUUCAGCACAGACGAAGCGCAAGUGACGGUAUGUGCAGAAGAAGGACCGGCCAACUACGUGCCAGCAGCCGCGGUAAUACGUAGGGUCCGAGCGUUGUCCGGAAUUAUUGGGCGUAAAGGGCUCGUAGGCGGUUUGUCGCGUCGGGAGUGAAAACACCGGGCUUAACUCGGUGCUUGCUUUCGAUACGGGCAGACUAGAGGCAUUCAGGGGAGAACGGAAUUCCUGGUGUAGCGGUGAAAUGCGCAGAUAUCAGGAGGAACACCGGUGGCGAAGGCGGUUCUCUGGGAAUGUCCUGACGCUGAGGAGC